GGCGGUCAUAGCGUAGGGGAAACGCCCGGAUCCCAUUCCGAACCCGGAAGCUAAGCCCUACUGCGCCGAUGGUACUGCACCCGAAAGAGUGUGGGAGAGUAGGUCGCCGCC
This 111-nucleotide ribosomal RNA is filed under the name Nesterenkonia cremea. The record is from RNAcentral. Lineage: Bacteria; Bacillati; Actinomycetota; Actinomycetes; Micrococcales; Micrococcaceae.